UACGAAGGGGGCUAGCGUUGCUCGGAAUCACUGGGCGUAAAGGGUGCGUAGGCGGGUCUUUAAGUCAGAGGUGAAAUCCUGGAGCUCAACUCCAGAACUGCCUUUGAUACUGAGGAUCUUGAGUAUGGGAGAGGUGAGUGGAACUGCGAGUGUAGAGGUGAAAUUCGUAGAUAUUCGCAAGAACACCAGUGGCGAAGGCGGCUCACUGGCCCGAUACUGACGCUGAGGCACGAAAGCGUGGGGAGCAAACAGG
This 253-nucleotide ribosomal RNA is filed under the name uncultured bacterium. RNAcentral's name for it is "partial 16S ribosomal RNA". It matches the Rfam family "Bacterial small subunit ribosomal RNA", at positions 524 to 776 of the family's 1533-position model. The record is from RNAcentral.